GCAUGGGGACUGCAUCUGGAAUAACACAGUGGCUGCAAAGGUGCAGUAAGUAAUCCAUUCAACAUCAGCUCCAGAGAUGCUCUUGCCAGCUGGGAUGUAGGACCUGGCAAUAGUGAUGCUAUUCCAGUUCAUUUGGUAACUGUCAGUCUUUCAGAAAGGGUAUUGACAACUUGGAAAGAUUAUUUUCAAUAGCUCCCAGUGUCAUUCAAGGGCAGGAAAACAGGUCUUAUUAUAGUGUCAGACUAAUGAAGCUCAAGCUAUUAAUUUAUCAGAGGCAAUUUGAAGAGGUGACUUGAUCUCCGUCUGCAAACACAAUCUUCUACCUGGGCAGGGAAGUGCUGUCUGAGGGCAGGUACCUCUUCUGUUUAGAAGAAAAGGGAAUGAUGUGCUUUACUGGUUGGAAACUGAUUUCAGGCUAGAAAUUAAGUGCAAGUACUCAACAGGGAGGAUAAUUACCCGUGGAGACAACUUACUUAGUUACCUGGCAUGUUCUCCAUCACAUAAAGUCUUUAAAUGUAUGCAGAAUAUUUUUCUAAGUCAAUAAGCUCUACCUCAAACUGAAAUCCAGGCUCGAUGCAGCAAUUACUGGAUGAAGUCAUUAGGCAUGUGUUAUGCAAGGAUUAGACUAGAUCAUCAGAUGUAAUUUCUGAAUUAAAAAUACCUUGAAGUUUCCAAUAUUACAAGAAGGCAGGGCAACUAUAUCAGGUUUUGGGGUUUUGUGUUUGGUUUUGGUUUUUUUUUCUACAAAAUGGUCCUAAUUUAAACAGCUUUUAUGAAAAGCUGUACUUGUUAAGGUUUGAUAUGAGCAUCAGUAGGUCUGCUCACAGUUUUAAGGUUCUGCUGCACAUAAUUAAAGGAAGAGAACUGGACAAGAAAGGACAACAGAACCCUUGGACACACUGAGAAAGUCUGUUGACUUUCAUUAAUAGCAACCUGGGACAAAAUGCUGCAUGCAAAUGAUGGGGCCAUGUGGAUGUGUAGUCUGAGCAAGCAAUAACAUCUGUGGGUUUGCCUCUUAAGGAGGUAGGAUCUUGCUGGCAAGAAACAGAUUUUCCUGCCUUCAACAACUGGCAGAGAAGCUGCAGUGCUGAUUGAGAGGGCGAUUGUAUCUCUGUGCAGCUGAGCAUGGUACACAAGUUCCUUGCUUCAAACACAGCAAACUGUUCUGCUCUCAUGACGAGCCCCAUUGGAGCUGGUUAAUAAAGCCCUGGAAGUGAAAUGACAUCAGUGGGAUUACCCAGAGUAAUGACAGCUGCUCCCAGCAAUGGGUUUUUGCAAGAUUGGGCCCUGUUACCAUCAGCUGGUUUCAAUGUUGUACUUCAGAAAUAAGCACUGGACUACUCAGUGUCUGAUUCAGGUUUCACAAAAUCGCUGUCAAUAGGUACAAGUGAGAACCUCUGGAGCAUCUUCCAAGUUCUUCACCAAUCGGUGGGGAAUGGCAUAAACAGGGAUGUGCAGUCUGAAAAGUCAACAGUUCACACAAACAAGAGAAACUCUAAAAGCAAUACUUACUGCAGAUUGGUAUUGAAUCAACAUCAAGAAGCUAAAACAAGAAUGAGCUAGCUACGGCCAUAGCUAAGAAGAUAAAGAUCUUUGGGGAUUCUUGCUCUAAUCCAGUGUGAAAUCCUAAGAAAAUGAGUUUGGGCUAGAUUUGUUGUUUGAAGAACAUUGGUACAUGCUUGCUGCCUUUCAAAUAAAUUCUGAAGAGUCACUGGCUUUGGUUUGUGAUGGCUUAUGAGUGUCCUCACACUGCAGCUCUGGAGGGGAGCGUUCCAUAACUGGCAUGUCUGGGAUCCAGCUGGGCAGGGAAGAAGCUGAACUUGCACAUGAGUGGAAUUGCCAGCAUUAUUAUAACACAACCAGGCUUAGUCUGAGAAUGAGAUGAAAAUCUCCUUUCUGAUACUAAUUCCAAAUAUAUCUAAAUAGUUUUUCAGAAGAAAAAAUCCUCUGUAGCUUCUGUUACAUCUCUGAUCACAUCCUUUCUAUUAAGUUACUUGCCUUGAAUUUAUUUAGUUGGUAUCAUAAGUCACUAAAUUAAAUAGCAAAACAACAGGUUUUGGUUUUUUUUUAAAGCAGGGAGAUUGGUAUUGCAGCAAAACAGCUUGUAAGCAAUAAGAAACUGUGCAGGGGAGGAAAAAAAUCCACAAUUUGUCCCAUCAGAUGCUUAGGGGAUUUGACUGGUUGGUUGACUUUUUGUUUCAAUAUUGAGAGCAAGGUUUUACAUCUAAACAGAGGUUUUCCUUACUGAACCAGACUUUGGUAAAGAAAUAUUGGGAGUCCUCUCAGCACUUCUUCUGCAUCCCUUGUAUUCAAGAGGCUCCUUCUCGGUGCUUCUUUUGAGAAAGGUAGAAAAGAGAUUAGGUGACAGUAGUGAAGACACAGAGGGACAGGAACUUCCAGCCUAUGCAAAGCACCUCAGCAUGAGACCCAAACUCAGCCUUGUGCCCUGACUCCAACACUGCUGACGGAGGGGAGGAAUGGGGCCAUGCAGGGCUAACCUGCAAGUGCAACCUGGUGUCCUCUUCCAC
This is a long non-coding RNA of Empidonax traillii (willow flycatcher), 2528 nucleotides long. RefSeq lists it as uncharacterized. NCBI's taxonomy places the organism in Eukaryota, Metazoa, Chordata, Aves, Passeriformes, Tyrannidae. The record is from RefSeq and is a predicted model, not a curated record. The transcript is spliced from 3 exons.